CUGGGUGCUUCAUCUGACAGGUCUUUGAUUUUCACCAAAGAAACUUCUGGGUGUUUCCCAGUGUCCUUGAUCACUGGCACAUGGAUGGGUCUUUCUGCAGUGUCCAAGCUCUCUGUGGAGGAAACGCUCUCUCGGCUGGAAGGGGAGGUCUCAAAUGCCAAGUCCUCCAGGUGCUCACAUUCAUGAGGAACUGUCUUUGCUCCCUGCUCUUCCAGGACUCCUGGCUCCUCACUCACAGCAAGGUAGGGUUCUGCAAAGUCAUCCUGCUCAGAGGUUUCUCCUCUUCCACGCUGUUGGACAGAAGGGAAGGAGGUGUCUGUGUGUGCUUGGCUGCCUUUGUAGAUUGUCUCUCUGUGAGGAGAAAUGUGCUUCCUGCUUCUCUUCUCUCCAGAAACUGACUCUGCCCAAACAUUCAUCUCUUCAGAGAGGGAAACCAUCUCAUCCACYAAGCCCUCCAGCACAGCAGACUCCUCGUCACUGUAAAAGGAAGAUCUGUGGUGUGACAGCUCCUGACCRUGAUCCCUGCGGAGCAGCGAUGGGGCAGCUUUUCCAGCAUCACCUCUUCCAUCUUCUAAGGCAAUGCCUCCACCCUCACCAUAAACYUCUGGAUAUUCCUCAUAUUCCAUUUCAUAUGCUGAAGCUGGAGCACCUUCUGGUUGUGAAGCAGUUAAUGCACCUGAACUGCCACUCUGCAGACCAUGUGAAAUCUCAGCCCUGUGCUGCUCAAACACCCCGUGUCCAGCCUUGGGGAAAGGAGCAGCCACAGCUUGUCCAGCUGCUYGACUUCCACUUGCUGUCACAACAGAUCUCAUCUCACUGUGAACUGACACCUCUGGRUGUUGUUGAUUUUCACUCUCCCAGACCUGAGGGAGGGCAGUGCUUUGGGAGGGUGCAGCUCUGGCUGGGUGUCUGCUCUCCAGAGCAGCAGGCUCUGAGCCAUGGCCUUCAGGAACCUUCUGGGGCUCAGCUCCUUCAUGGGCCAAACUGGAAACAACCUCUGUGACAGCUGAGCUUUUACUCCUCAGAGCAGCAGGUUUCUCCUUGCUGAGAGCCUGCUGUGCUCCAUCGGAGACCAGAGCUGGUGCUG
RNAcentral lists this long non-coding RNA (1087 nucleotides) under Zosterops lateralis melanops. Its description in RNAcentral is "lncRNA (ENSZLMG00000012119.1)". The record is from RNAcentral. Lineage: Eukaryota; Metazoa; Chordata; Aves; Passeriformes; Zosteropidae.